Molecule: long non-coding RNA, 926 nt
Organism: Symsagittifera roscoffensis
Lineage: Eukaryota; Metazoa; Xenacoelomorpha; Acoela; Convolutidae
Exons: 3
Source: RefSeq, a predicted model, not a curated record
UAUUCUUGUUUAGCAAAGAAAAGAAGCAGCAAGCAGAGAGUUUAGUUAAAGAUUUUAGAAAAACGUUGCUCUGAUUGAAUUGUCAUAUUCAGACUUGGUUUUGAUUGCAUUUGAAUUAUCAAAGCCCCAGCAAAUCAUUUAAGAGAAAAAACAUGAAUGUGUUAAAGAAAAUCUUCCUGUGGAAACAAUUAGCGGUUCGAUAUGCUAAAGUGGGUGUUAUUUUGGCUUGUUUAACAGCAUUUCUUGUCUGCUUACGGACACCUUUGGUUCGUCAAGUCAGCAUUAUAAAUGAACAUCUGGAAACUUUAGCUGAACAUCAACCACGCAACGCUAGUUUGGAAGCUGAAAUAACGACUUCUGAACAACAAAAGUGCAUCGAUACUCCGUGGAUUGACUCUCCAGCACUAGUUCACCGUUAUGCUCCCUUAAAUCACCCCGACUAUUCACUUCCAAAGGGGCUGAAAAUGCUACAGGACCCUUCUGACGCCGCUAGUCUGAUGGAAAAAUGCUCAAAAGUUCACUCGGAAGCGAAUUUGGGGAUCCUCAUGAUCAACUCUCGGACAACUUCCUUCGCACAACGGUUGGCCGUACGUGAGACAUAUCUACCAGAAUUAUUACAAUCGACCACUAAAAACUUCACUUGGAUAUAUUUUUUCGCAGUUAGUCAACCUUAUUCGAACGGCAAUGAUAAUAUUUCAAACACAAAGGAGCAUUUGCAAAAGGAAAUAUCCCAAUAUGCCGAUGUUGUUGUUUUCAACACGCCUGAAGGUUACGAUUUAACCCCGCUCAAAAUUCUUUCGUCAAUGAAGUUAGUUUAUUGCUACUGUCCAAAAUUCGAUUAUUUUGCUAAAUCUGACGACGAUACAUACACAAGAAUCGAUAGACUGAACAAUGAGCUUCCCAAACUGCAAAAAGAAAUAGAUGAA